CCUCCGAUAGCUCAGUUGGUAGAGCGCAAGACUGUAAUCGGAAACCCAUGUGAUCUUGAGGCCGCUAGUUCGAUCCUGGCUCGGAGGA
This 88-nucleotide transfer RNA is filed under the name Trametes cinnabarina. RNAcentral's name for it is "Pycnoporus cinnabarinus tRNA". It matches the Rfam family "tRNA". From Rfam's summary of the family: Transfer RNA (tRNA) molecules are approximately 80 nucleotides in length. Their secondary structure includes four short double-helical elements and three loops (D, anti-codon, and T loops). Lineage: Eukaryota; Fungi; Basidiomycota; Agaricomycetes; Polyporales; Polyporaceae. The record is from Rfam by way of RNAcentral.